GGGGUUAUAGUUAAGAUUAUAACAUUUAAUUUGCAAUUAAAAAUCAUUUAGUAAAUAAUUAUCCUCA
This 67-nucleotide transfer RNA is filed under the name Entomovelia sp. YC-2015. Its description in RNAcentral is "tRNA-Ala". It matches the Rfam family "tRNA". Rfam says of the family: Transfer RNA (tRNA) molecules are approximately 80 nucleotides in length. The record is from RNAcentral. Lineage: Eukaryota; Metazoa; Arthropoda; Insecta; Hemiptera; Veliidae.